This 66-nucleotide transfer RNA is filed under the name Urocitellus parryii (Arctic ground squirrel). RNAcentral describes it as "Spermophilus parryii (Arctic ground squirrel) tRNA". It matches the Rfam family "tRNA". Rfam says of the family: Transfer RNA (tRNA) molecules are approximately 80 nucleotides in length. Their secondary structure includes four short double-helical elements and three loops (D, anti-codon, and T loops). Lineage: Eukaryota; Metazoa; Chordata; Mammalia; Rodentia; Sciuridae. RNAcentral also lists the same sequence under 1 other name. The record is from Rfam by way of RNAcentral.
GGUGAUAUAGCUCAGUUGGUAGAGUGGUUGCCUUGCACAAGGCUCUGGGUUCAAUUCCCAGCACCA